AUGUGGUCCCACCUCAACAGCGUGAGCACUGGGAAAGCAAACAAUCAGGAAGAACUUCUGUUCUCCCAAUCAUGGGCAGCUCUGUUUGCACAGUGCUCAGACAGAGGACCACUUGCUGACAGAGUGGCAGAGAGCAGGGAAGCACCUCGAGGACUUCAGAAGAAUGUUGACCUUUAGACAACAGUUAGCGGAUAUGCAACAUGUCUUGUUGCUAUUUUGGUGUCUGUACUUUGUAAUCUGAAAAUUCGGUAUAUCAUUGAAAUAAUAAGAAAUUUUGUCCCUGUGCUCUGCUUUAAUGCCUUAAUGAAACCUGGUAGUGAUAUUUCUGGUGCAAUGAUUUUAUGGUGUGAUGGAAAAUGUGAGCUUUAACCUGGGUUUGAUUACUUAUCAGAAAAGUUGGCAGAAGCAGUUUUAAUUCAAUAUCUGUGACUAUGUGGCCACAUUGCAUCGUGUUUUCAUCUGUCAGAUAGAAAAUAAAUUAAAAUAACUUAUUUCUGCA
This 499-nucleotide long non-coding RNA is filed under the name Anas platyrhynchos platyrhynchos (common mallard). RNAcentral's name for it is "lncRNA (ENSAPLG00000026743.1)". The record is from RNAcentral. Lineage: Eukaryota; Metazoa; Chordata; Aves; Anseriformes; Anatidae.